Molecule: non-coding RNA, 603 nt
Organism: Drosophila bipectinata
Lineage: Eukaryota; Metazoa; Arthropoda; Insecta; Diptera; Drosophilidae
Source: RefSeq, a predicted model, not a curated record
AAGCAAACGAAGAAUUCCAAAAAAAUAAAAUACAACUGGUGCAUUUAUAUUAGAAAAGCUCUCGGCAUGCUUUGGACAUCCAAGAGGUAGAAAUGUCUAAAAAGCCGGCUCUGAAAAGCAGGCAACACAUUUUUGCGUGCGUGGCCCGAAAGAAAGAGACAACUGUCACGGCGAGAGACAAGGUUCCAGAGGCAAAUAGCAGCAGCAGCAACAUCAAAGCUGAGAAGCAACAUCACCAACGGCCUCGCCCUCAACAGUUGUCUAAAAUAAAAACACCAGCCUCUGGUUUGGCUUCGGCUGCGGCUCUGGCGUUUUUCAACGUCCCCCUCUUGAUAUUUGGGUUGCAGGUUGCAGGUUGCAGACCCUCCAGGACAACCGCAACAGCAGUCUCAGCAGCAACAGCACCAACAUGCAACAGCACAGCAGCAACAUUCGUGUCGUCAUCAUCAUCAUCAUCGACUUGUGCAGCAUCAGUGCCUCGUCAAAACGUCAAUCGGUGUAAUCAAGCGUUAAGUGAUUCUGCGGAAGCGCAGCGAGGCCUUAACUUUGCUAAAUACACUUCAAGAAAAAAUUAUACAAAAAAUAAAUAUUAAAAAAAAUGUA